Long non-coding RNA from Episyrphus balteatus (marmalade hoverfly), 635 nucleotides. RefSeq lists it as uncharacterized. NCBI's taxonomy places the organism in Eukaryota, Metazoa, Arthropoda, Insecta, Diptera, Syrphidae. The transcript has 3 exons. The record is from RefSeq and is a predicted model, not a curated record.
CAUAGACUAAUGAAAUUUUACAUCGGCUUAUUAAAAAAUACAUCAGUUAACGAAAAUAAAUCGUGGUCUUCCGAAAAAAAGUUAGACUAACGUGUAUACAGAGCACGCUGUAUUUUCGUUUGUUGUGUUCAUUUGUGGUAGUCCCAGUGUAUAUUCAACCCCCAAAGUGCGAAGAUCUAUCACGCGGAAAUAUAAAAUACAAAAAAUAUUGUGCGCUGAAAAAAUUUAAAAUAAUUACCUAUGUAUUAGAAAAGAAACAACAAACAGAAACAAACAAUAAGAAAAAUAAGUGGUGUUUAGCUGGUACUUGGACCAUUUACUCGAGAAUUAUACAGAAAAAAGGUUUUUGUCACCGUUCUCAAGAGUGGAAGAGUGGAUGAACGAUGAGAUAAUUCCAAAGAUGUCAUCCUAAUGCACUUUAUACAUGGUACUGGUUCUAAAGGACAAUUACAUAUAAAAGUCCCAUGAAGCUUUCUUAUAUACGUGGAACACCUCAAAAGCCGAUCAUCAAGCCAACCAUUCGUGAUCGACAUCAAAUCCCUGAUAAAACUCUUCAUAUCGCCGGUAUAAAGUAUUCGUUUACCUCAUUCCUUAGAGAACUUUAAAGUUUUUAAUGUAAUUAAUUUAAUUUUUGU